AUAACGACUCUYGGCAACGGAUAUCUCGGCUCUSGCAUCGAUGAAGAACGUAGCGAAAUGCGAKACUUGGUGUGAAUUGCAGAAUCCCGUGAACCAUUGAGUCUUUGAACGCAAGUUGCGCCCGAAGCCAUUAGGCUGAGGGCACGUCUGCCUGGGCGUCACG
Molecule: ribosomal RNA, 163 nt
Filed under: Colea hirsuta
Lineage: Eukaryota; Viridiplantae; Streptophyta; Magnoliopsida; Lamiales; Bignoniaceae
Description: 5.8S ribosomal RNA
Rfam family: 5.8S ribosomal RNA
About the family: 5.8S ribosomal RNA (5.8S rRNA) is a component of the large subunit of the eukaryotic ribosome.
Source: RNAcentral